GCCACAGGUUGGAGAGAUGCGAGUCCUCCGUGGCCGCCGGCAGUAAAGCCCCUGCAAUUUGGCAUACUUUUGUCUUGGUGUUGACUUUCUAUGCUCUGGCCAGUACAAAAUUUUGGAGGUCCCACCAAGAUUUAUCUUCGUCCAUCACCCCGAAAAAGCCAUCUCAGAGUCUCUCCCAGGUGGCCACUCCCACCCGGGAACCUCUAGGGGAGGCACCCCUUGAGAUGUUCCAGGGCCCCAGAGUUCCGGCCCUGUGGAGGAUGAGCGACUACCCGGUCGACACUCACCCGAAAUUCCUCAGGGUCCUGGGAACCUCCGGAGGUAAGUCAGGUCUGGAAAUCAGGGGACUGGUCUGUCAGAGGGGCCUGAGUCCAGGGACCGGACGCAGUCAUUGCAACCCUGACAAGGCAAGCCUACCGUGAGAUGUCACUGGAGGCUCGGGUUGCCUCAAUGGAGGCUCAGGUUGCCUCACCAGAAGCUCAGGUUGCCUCAAUGGAGACUCAGGUAAUUUAGUUUUCAGUUGUUUUCCAUAACCUUGGUGUUAGUGAGAGAGUGAGUGUGUAUAUAUGUAGUCCCAAGGCUGGAAGGCUACAGGGCUUAUAUGGGCCUUCACCCACAGUUCCACGGUGACAUCAUAAGGCAUAACAGUGAUUUAUCUCAGGACUGAAAAUUCUGAGGUGACCAGGCCUGGGGUUUAUACGUGUACACCUUAGUCAAGAUGGUCUGAAACAUCCCUCCAGGGACGUGGCCGGACCCGCAUGAAGAUUUUAAAGGCUACAGUUUUAAACCCAGCCAUGCUGCUACCUGAUAGCCAGCCAGAGAAUCCCAUACAUGAUUGCCAGCAAAUAAUGGACGUCAUCCACACCGCUUGACUGGACUUCACUGAUAUUCCCCUACAGAAUCCGGAGGAGGUACUGUAUACUGAUGGCAGCAGCUUCAUGGUCGAUGGAGUCAGAUUGGCUACUGUUUUACAACCCUGAGUCACUGAGCCUCCACCUCGAAGGGCCAAAGGCGGGAAAAGUUUCUGCUUCCCAAACAAAGUUCCGAGGAGCCAGAGACUGGAAACCUGAGACAAAGUCCAGAGACGAGAAACCUGAGACAAAGUCCAUAAGAGCCAGAGGCAGGAAAAGCGGAGACAAAGCCUCUAGCUGGCCAGAGGCGGGAGAAUUCCUACGUUUGAAACAAAGCCCCCGCCCACCCGGGGAAGUCCCUCUAACACAGUCGCUCACAAAGGAGAAAUCCGAGGAUAUGGAGCUGUGUCUGAUGGGCUUGUCCUAUUAUUACUAGCUAUAUGGCUGGGCAUGGUGGCUCACGCCUGUAAUCCAAGCGCUUUGGAGACCAAGGAGGGCGGAUCACCUGAGGUUGUGAGUUCAAGACCAGCCUGACCAACAUGGUGAAACCCCGUCUUUAAAAAAGAAGAAACAAACAAAAAUAAAAAUAAAGCUAUCAAAAUAAACAGCUCUGUUCUAUCUCAUAUGCACUUAAAAAGAAAAAAAGCUUUCCUCUGUUUUCCUAGAGCUAGUCAGUUAUUUUGUAGUACUCCUUUCCUCACUUUCCUUUUCUGUCGAUUACAGUGUCCUCCAUCCCAGCACAUAUAUGAAUCUAGCAUAGAUCCACUAAUCAAGUGGAAAAUCCUGUCUUUUAUCUUGUUAGAUUUCUUUAUGCCUUUUGAUAAUGGUCAAUCGUUUUCUCUUUGUUGAAACACAAAGCUUAUAGUUACAUGAUUCUACUCUCUUAUUAUUCUGCCCUGGUUUACUUUGUAGCUCUUUGUGUC
Molecule: long non-coding RNA, 1774 nt
Filed under: Callithrix jacchus (white-tufted-ear marmoset)
Lineage: Eukaryota; Metazoa; Chordata; Mammalia; Primates; Cebidae
Description: lncRNA (ENSCJAG00000069062.2)
Source: RNAcentral